GACGAACGCGGCGGCGUGCCUAAUACAUGCAAGUAGAACGCACAGUAUAUACCGUAGCUGCUACACCAUAGACUGUGAGUUGCGAACGGGUGAGUAACGCGUAGGUAACCUGCCUGGUAGCGGGGGAUAACUAUUGGAAACGAUAGCUAAUACCGCAUAAUAUUAAUUAUUGCAUGAUAAUUGAUUGAAAGAUGCAACUGCAUCACUACCAGAUGGACCUGCGUUGUAUUAGCUAGUAGGUGAGGUAACGGCUCACCUAGGCGACGAUACAUAGCCGACCUGAGAGGGUGAUCGGCCACACUGGGACUGAGACACGGCCCAGACUCCUACGGGAGGCAGCAGUAGGGAAUCUUCGGCAAUGGACGAAAGUCUGACCGAGCAACGCCGCGUGAGUGAAGAAGGUUUUCGGAUCGUAAAGCUCUGUUGUAAGAGAAGAACGGGUGUGAGAGUGGAAAGUUCACACUGUGACGGUAUCUUACCAGAAAGGGACGGCUAACUACGUGCCAGCAGCCGCGGUAAUACGUAGGUCCCGAGCGUUGUCCGGAUUUAUUGGGCGUAAAGCGAGCGCAGGCGGUUAGAUAAGUCUGAAGUUAAAGGCUGUGGCUUAACCAUAGUACGCUUUGGAAACUGUUUAACUUGAGUGCAGAAGGGGAGAGUGGAAUUCCAUGUGUAGCGGUGAAAUGCGUAGAUAUAUGGAGGAACACCGGUGGCGAAAGCGGCUCUCUGGUCUGUAACUGACGCUGAGGCUCGAAAGCGUGGGGAGCGAACAGG
RNAcentral lists this ribosomal RNA (771 nucleotides) under uncultured Streptococcus sp. RNAcentral's name for it is "bacterial SSU rRNA". It matches the Rfam family "Bacterial small subunit ribosomal RNA", at positions 28 to 776 of the family's 1533-position model. Lineage: Bacteria; Bacillati; Bacillota; Bacilli; Lactobacillales; Streptococcaceae. The record is from RNAcentral.